GUAACGCCUGGGGGGUGCGAACCCACGGCCAGUGCCACAGAAAAUAUACCGCCCGCUGAUUCGUCGGUGGGUAAGGGUGAAAUGGUGCGGUAAGAGCGCACCGCGUGUCUGGCAACAGACAUGGCAGGGUAAACCCCACUCGGAGCAAGACCAAAUAGGGGGACAUAAUGCGUGGUCCGCGCUGUUCCCGGGUAGGUUGCUUGAGGUGUACGGUGACGUAUCAUCCAGAUGAAUGACUGCCCCGGCUCAUUGAGCUACGACAGAACCCGGCUUAUCGGCCAGCUCCCUCU
This 290-nucleotide RNase P RNA is filed under the name Gammaproteobacteria bacterium. RNAcentral describes it as "partial RNase P RNA component class A". It matches the Rfam family "Bacterial RNase P class A", at positions 78 to 367 of the family's 367-position model. Rfam says of the family: Ribonuclease P (RNase P) is a ubiquitous endoribonuclease, found in archaea, bacteria and eukarya as well as chloroplasts and mitochondria. Its best characterised activity is the generation of mature 5'-ends of tRNAs by cleaving the 5'-leader elements of precursor-tRNAs. The record is from RNAcentral. Lineage: Bacteria; Pseudomonadati; Pseudomonadota; Gammaproteobacteria.